GCCAGGAAAAUGUCACCCUCCACUCACUAGGUCACAGUAGCUAAGCAGGAAUGGGCCUGGUUCCUUCUUGGUUGGGAGACCACCUGGGCAUACUGUAGGCUUUUCCUUUCC
RNAcentral lists this ribosomal RNA (111 nucleotides) under Notamacropus eugenii (tammar wallaby). Lineage: Eukaryota; Metazoa; Chordata; Mammalia; Diprotodontia; Macropodidae. The record is from RNAcentral.